Punica granatum (pomegranate) is the source of this 3823-nucleotide non-coding RNA. Lineage: Eukaryota; Viridiplantae; Streptophyta; Magnoliopsida; Myrtales; Lythraceae. The record is from RefSeq and is a predicted model, not a curated record.
AUCCUUGCAUAAUAUGGGCCGAGAAGACUCCUGCCCCCUCCACAGUGCCUCCCUCACUCCUUUUGGUAUCUGUCUUGUGCCCAUUUGAGGAAUGACGACUCCUUCUUCCUUCAGCCUUUUUAAUCCUUUCGUAGCUUCUUAUUAAUCGGGUUUUCAUUUGCUUAAUUAAUGUCGAGAGAGAAAUAAAAUACUAUUUUUAACAUUUACAUAAAAAAAAAUCACUGUUAUUUUGCUUUCCUUUUGUUUUUGCCAUUUUUGCGUCUCUAUUUUCUCCCGUCUGAAAGGUUCCAAUCCGAAAAGCUUCAUUGUCCCCUAUGGUCGGCCAACACCGACUCCCGCCCCCUUCGCGGAUCCUCCAUCUCUGUCUGUGACUUCUCCCUCCCUGACCGCAUCCAUUCCUCCAUCACUCCUUUCGAUCGAAUUGCGGGUGGCCAAGAUCGACUUUUUCCCUCUCCAUGGCUCCUCCCAUAAUCUCUUUGGUAGGUGCCCCAACCUUGUAUGUUGUUGGUGGGCGAGAAGGCUCCUGGCCCUUUUGCAGCUCCUCCCUCACUCCUUUCGGUAGGUGCCCCAAUCCUCGCAUACUGUGGGCCGAGAAGACUCCUGCCACCUCCACAGUGCCUCCCUCACUCCUUUCGGUAGUUGUCAUGUGCCCAUUUGAGGAAUGACGACUCCUUCUUCCUUUAGCCUUUUCAAUUCUUUCGCAACGUCUUAUUGAUCGGGUCUUCAGUCGCUUAAUUAAUAUCGAGAGAGAAAAAAAUAAUACUUUUUUUAACAUUUACUUAAGAAAAUCACUGUCCUUAUGCUUCCCUUUUGUUUUUGCCAUUUCUGCGUCUCUCUUUACUCCCGUCUGAAAGGUUCCAAUCCGAAAAGCUUCAUUGUCCCCUAUGGUCGGCCAACACUGACUCCCGCCCCCUGCGUGAAUCCUCUGUCUCUGUCUGCGACUUCUCCCUCCCUGUCCGCAUCCACUCCUCCCUCACUCCUUUCGACCGAAUUGCUGGUGGCCAAGAUCAACUUUUGCCCUCUUCAUGGCUCCUCCCUCAAUCUCUUUGAUAGGUGCCCCAACCUUGUAUGUUGUUGGUGGGCGAGAAGGCUCCUGUCCCUUUUCGCAGCUCCUCCCUCACUCCUUCCGGUAGGUGCCCCAAUCCUCGCAUACUGUGGGCCGAGAAGACUCCUGCCCCCUCCGUAGUGCCUCCCUCACUCCUUUCGUAGUUGUCAUGUGCCCAUUUGAGGAAGGACGACUCCUUCUUUCUUUAGCCUUUUCAAUUCUUUCGCAGUGUCUUAUUGGUUAGGUCUUCAUUCGCUUAAUUAAUAUCGAGAGAGGAAAAAAAAUCUUUUUUUAACAUUUACUUAAGAAAAUCGCUGUCCUUCUGCUUUCCUUUUGUUUCUGUCAUUUCUGCGUUUCUCUUUUCUUUCGUCUGAAAAGGUUCCACUGUCCCCUUUCGUCGGCCAACACUGACUCCCACCCCCUCCGCGGGUCCUCCGUCUCUGUCUGCGACUUCUCCCUCUCUGUCCGCGACUCCUUCCUCACUCCUUUCAACCGAAUUGUUAGACCGAAUUGUGGGUGGCCAUGAUCGACUCCUGCCUUCUCCGCAGCUCCUCCCUCAAUCUCUUCGAUAGGUGCCCCAACCUCGUACGUUGUUGGUGGCCGAGAAGGCUCCUAGCCCCUCCGCAGCUCCUCCCUCACUCCUUCCAGCCCCCGAAGAGGAGGAAGAUCCCGUACUUGAUGUGGCAGAGAGAGAUACGAGGAAGCACUGGGCUAUCAGGGCCAUGAAGAGGAGGUUGACGCAGACGACCAUGCUCUGUCCGGCUAAGCGGGUCUCCAAGGGGAAGAGCUCGCUCGGGACUAGCCAGCCAAGGGGACCCCAUGACCGUCCAUGGGCUAGCACGAUAGCCCAGGGUCACAAUUAUCUGCACGAUAUCAAGAUGAGGCAUAUGAUUAGCGAGUGACCAGAGAAUCAAGGACUGAAUGAACUUUGAGUAGAUGGAAAUCAAUAGAGAUGUUCAGCUUCUGUGUUUUAAAGUGAUUGAUUUUGUUCAACUUCUGUGUUUUCCUCUUUUACCUGAAUUAGAUGUUCAUUUGUUUGCUUCAGUUGAGGAGAUGCAGAGGCAUAAUUUCGGCUUAAUGGACUCGAGCAAUUCCAUGAUUUGUUAGCGAAAUUCGGAGUGAAUAUAUAUACCUGAGCACAAUGGAUUGCACGUGUCCUAAAUGCCAAGGCGUCCAACUCAAAAAGCGAGUCCACAAUGUCCCUUUUUCCAAUUUUUACCUAAUUGUUGUUGUGCUUCUCAAAAUUUGACCUGUCUUCAUGCAUGUUUUCUUCUUUCAAUUGCUACAGAUGCAGCAAGAUAUUCGUUUACCCCAAUUGACAAGUAAGAUAGCGAGAUUACAUCGCCGUGCACACAUAAUCUCGCGUAAUGUUGAUGUAAAUGGAAUGUUGCCUUUGUUGCAAAUGAUGAUACAACAUCUUGGUGAACGUUCAUGAUUUAAAAUGAAAUUUCUUUUGGAUAUAUAUGAGUUAUUUUAGCAUCUUACAAUCAAAUUUGUCAAUUCCUGCAAUCAAAGACUUGCUAACUGCAUAAAUUAGGUGAAGAUGAAGUUUGAAAAUGGACAAGUUACUUUUUUGGUUCACAUUUGAGAAGAAAGUUUCACUGUUUUAGUUGAUUGGUUCGCUUUUCUUUUAGGUACUGCAAACAGUGCUUGUGCUACGGGGAGCUCGACUCCUACAAUAAACACACACCCUAACCCUUCGACUGAUGGGGUUUCUGGUGUGGGGAGUUUGACCUCUGGAAUAAACACGCGACCAUCCGCUUUGACUGAGAGUGAUAACGAGACUUGGAAUUUUGGGAAACCUACAUGCGAUUGUGAAUAUUGUGGGGCACUACAUUAGUAUGAAGAGAGAAAAGAGAAAUAUAGACGACCAAGGAAUCCAAAAUUCUCUAUUUGUAGUUCGGAGGGCCGCAUAGAACUACGAGGCAAUAUUACGCUUUUCAUCUUCAACAAAGGCGUCAAGAGGGACAAACCUGGCUGCGUGCGGGCCAUUUACUACGGCAGUAUCUUGUGGAUGCUUACGCUUGUAUUGAGGAAAAUUGGCUAAAUUGGAUAUGAAAAAACUAGAAACAAUUGAGAGCUGAGUUGUACAAAGGACUCAAGGAUGCAAUUAGACAAAGCGACUUGAUGAGUGAUGAUGUUGGCCGAAUGACAGUAUUAACGUCAACCCACACUGGUGGACUCCGAUAUCGUGUACAGAAUUAUCAAGGCGCUAUGGCUAUCUAUCGGUCAAUUGGAUAUCCGGACUUAUUCCUUAUAUUCACAUGUAACCCAAAGUGGCCAGAAAUAGAAUAUUUUAUUGAAGACAGAGAGGGGCAACGGAGUGAAGACAGAGUUGAUAUUGUUAACCGGGUCUUUUCAAUCGAGCUUUGGGAAGUACUUCAUGAUAUCAAGCGACAUAAAAUUUUUGGUAAGACUAUUGGAGGUAAGUGAACCUCAUAUCUUUGCUGACAAAUUUUUGGUAAUCAAAUUCUCAGAACGAGAGCUCUCUCUACGCUGCUUUUGUGAACCAGAUUGCUUCGGUCUGCAUGUCUACAAUGAAUAUACCUCAUGGCUGUAAUGAUCGUGAGGUAGAUGAUUUGAGCUUAUGAGAGAUUGAAACAGACUAUAGUUUAUGUUUUUGUUCAAAUGAAUGUUUCCCAUUACAGCUUAUCAGUGCAAAUUUAGUUCCUGUCGAGCAUCAUGUUUGGUGAGGCUGAUUAUUAGCUUGGGGGUAAUGAUAGCAGACAAUCUAGAGUUCUUUUGCUCCAUUCAGAACAUGUGCAAAAUUUCAUAUUA